This 397-nucleotide ribosomal RNA is filed under the name uncultured bacterium. RNAcentral describes it as "partial 16S ribosomal RNA". It matches the Rfam family "Bacterial small subunit ribosomal RNA", at positions 523 to 918 of the family's 1533-position model. The record is from RNAcentral.
AUACGUAGGGGGCGAGCGUUGUCCGGAAUGAUUGGGCGUAAAGGGCGCGUAGGCGGCCCGGUAAGUCUGGAGUGAAAGUCCUGUUUUUAAGAUGGGAAUUGCUUUGGAUACUGUCGGGCUUGAGUGCAGGAGAGGUAAGUGGAAUUCCCAGUGUAGCGGUGAAAUGCGUAGAGAUUGGGAGGAACACCAGUGGCGAAGGCGGGUAACUGGACUGCAACUGACGCUGAGGCGCGAAAGUGUGGGGAGCAAACAGGAUUAGAUACCCUGGUAGUCCACACUGUAAACGAUGAAUGCUAGGUGUAAGGGGUAUCGACCCCUUCUGUGCCGCAGUCAACACAAUAAGCAUUCCGCCUGGGGAGUACGGCCGCAAGAAUGAAACUCAAAUGAAUUGGCGGGG